RNAcentral lists this ribosomal RNA (384 nucleotides) under uncultured bacterium. RNAcentral's name for it is "bacterial SSU rRNA". It matches the Rfam family "Bacterial small subunit ribosomal RNA", at positions 28 to 412 of the family's 1533-position model. The record is from RNAcentral.
GACGAACGCUGGCGGCGUGCUUAACACAUGCAAGUCGAGCGGUAAGGCCCUUUCGGGGGUACACGAGCGGCGAACGGGUGAGUAACACGUGGGUGACCUGCCCUCAGCUCUGGGAUAAGCUUGGGAAACCGGGUCUAAUACCGGAUAUGACUCCAUGACGCAUGUUGUGGGGUGGAAAGCCUUGUGCGGCUGAGGAUGGGCCCGCGGCCUAUCAGCUUGUUGGUGGGGUGAUGGCCUACCAAGGCGACGACGGGUAGCCGGCCUGAGAGGGCGACCGGCCACACUGGGACUGAGACACGGCCCAGACUCCUACGGGAGGGCAGCAGUGGGGAAUCUUGCGCAAUGGGCGAAAGCCUGACGCAGCGACGCCGCGUGAGGGAUGAC